UUGCCGUCAGUAUUGAUUCUGCCAGUAGCUACUGCUAGUGUUGGAAGGGUAUUCUCUUCAAUGAGCCAUGUGAAGAAUAAGUUAAGGAACAAAAUGGGUGAUGAAUAUUUGAACAAUUGUUUGGUUACAUUUGUUGAGAGAGAAUUUUUCAAUCAAGUGAAGGAUGAAGAUGUUAUCAAUCUCUUCGAAAAAGGGCGACCACAGAGUUAUAAUGUAAGAAGGAUAUCAUCACUUCAUCAAUCAAAAGGUACUUAUGUAUUCAUGUCCUUAUGGUCUGAUACAUUGAAAUAUUGA
RNAcentral lists this ribosomal RNA (294 nucleotides) under Triticum aestivum (bread wheat). RNAcentral describes it as "partial small subunit ribosomal RNA". The record is from RNAcentral. Lineage: Eukaryota; Viridiplantae; Streptophyta; Magnoliopsida; Poales; Poaceae.